CAGCCGCCGCGGGAAUACGUAGGUGGCAAGCGUUGUCCGGAAUUAUUGGGCGUAAAGGGCUCGCAGGCGGUUUCUUAAGUCUGAUGUGAAAGCCCCCGGCUCAACCGGGGAGGGUCAUUGGAAACUGGGAAACUUGAGUGCAGAAGAGGAGAGUGGAAUUCCACGUGUAGCGGUGAAAUGCGUAGAGAUGUGGAGGAACACCAGUGGCGAAGGCGACUCUCUGGUCUGUAACUGACGCUGAGGAGCGAAAGCGUGGGGAGCGAACGGGAUUAGAUACCCCCGUAGUCCCUGUCUCUUAUAA
Molecule: ribosomal RNA, 301 nt
Filed under: uncultured bacterium
Lineage: Bacteria
Description: partial 16S ribosomal RNA
Rfam family: Bacterial small subunit ribosomal RNA
Source: RNAcentral